RNAcentral lists this ribosomal RNA (232 nucleotides) under uncultured bacterium. RNAcentral describes it as "partial 16S ribosomal RNA". It matches the Rfam family "Bacterial small subunit ribosomal RNA", at positions 118 to 347 of the family's 1533-position model. The record is from RNAcentral.
UGAGCAAUCUGCCCUUCUCAUCGGAAUAAGCGUUGGAAACGACGUCUAAUGCCGAAUACGACCUCCUUUCGCAUGAUCGGAGGUGGAAAGCUCCGGCGGAGAAGGAUGAGCUCGCGGCCUAUCAGCUAGUUGGUGUGGGUAAUGGCCCACCAAGGCGAUGACGGGUAGCCGGCCUGAGAGGGUGACCGGCCACACUGGGACUGAGACACCGGCCCAGACCUCCGUAGGGAGG